GACGAACGCUGGCGGCGUGCUUAACACAUGCAAGUCGAACGCUGAAGACCUGGCUUUUGUUGGGUUGGAUGAGUGGCGAACGGGUGAGUAACACGUGAGUAACCUGCCCUCUUCUUUGGGAUAACGCCCGGAAACGGGUGCUAAUACUGGAUAUUCACUGGCCUUCGCAUGGGGGUUGGUGGAAAGGUUUGUUCUGGUGGGGGAUGGGCUCGCGGCCUAUCAGCUUGUUGGUGGGGUGAUGGCCUACCAAGGCUUUGACGGGUAGCCGGCCUGAGAGGGUGACCGGUCACAUUGGGACUGAGAUACGGCCCAGAAUCCUACGGGAGGCAGCAGUGGGGAAUAGUGCACAAUGGGCGAAAGCCUGAUGCAGCGACGCCGCGUGAGGGAUGGAGGCCUUCGGGUUGUAAACCUCUUUCGCUCAUGGUCAAGCCGCAACUGUGGGUUGUGGUGAGGGUAGUGGGUAAAGAAGCGCCGGCUAACUACGUG
This 486-nucleotide ribosomal RNA is filed under the name uncultured bacterium. RNAcentral's name for it is "partial 16S ribosomal RNA". It matches the Rfam family "Bacterial small subunit ribosomal RNA", at positions 28 to 507 of the family's 1533-position model. The record is from RNAcentral.